RNAcentral lists this ribosomal RNA (482 nucleotides) under Consorophylax consors. RNAcentral's name for it is "partial large subunit ribosomal RNA". The stretch from base 323 to 481 matches the Rfam family "Archaeal large subunit ribosomal RNA", at positions 2542 to 2701 of the family's 2987-position model. The record is from RNAcentral. Lineage: Eukaryota; Metazoa; Arthropoda; Insecta; Trichoptera; Limnephilidae.
AAGGUAGCAUAAUAAUUAGGUUUUUAAUUGAAAUCUAGAAUGAAUGAUUGGACGAGAUAUAAGCUAUUUUAAAAUAAUUAAUUAAAACUUAAUUUUUUAGUUAAAAAGCUAAAAUUUUAUUAAAAGACGAGAAGACCCUAUAAAUCUUUAUAAUAAAUUUAUUUUUAUAGAUUAUUUUAUUUAAAUUAAUUAUUUUAAUAAGUAAAUUAUUUUAUUGGGGUGAUACAAAAAUUUAACUAACUUUUUUUGAUUUGUUAACUUAAAUUAAAGAUUUUAAAAUUAUGAUCUAUUAUUAAUAAUUCAAAGAAUAAGAUACUUUAGGGAUAACAGCGUAAUUUUAAUUUUAAGUUCUUAUUAAAAUUAAAGAUUGCGACCUCGAUGUUGGAUUAAAAUUUAAUUUAAAUGCAAAGGUUUAAAAAUUAAGUCUGUUCGACUUUUGAAAUUUUACAUGAUCUGAGUUCAAACCGGUGUGAGCCAGGUUG